GGGCCGAUGGUCUAGCGGUAUGAUUCUCGCUUAGGGUAACACCCUUAGCAUGUUAUCUGAUCCACAUCAAAUAACUAAAUUGCGAGAGGUCCCGGGUUCAAUUCCCGGUUGGCCCC
This 116-nucleotide transfer RNA is filed under the name Cephalotrichum gorgonifer. RNAcentral describes it as "transfer RNA-Pro(AGG)". It matches the Rfam family "tRNA". Rfam says of the family: Transfer RNA (tRNA) molecules are approximately 80 nucleotides in length. Their secondary structure includes four short double-helical elements and three loops (D, anti-codon, and T loops). Further hydrogen bonds mediate the characteristic L-shaped molecular structure. tRNAs have two regions of fundamental functional importance: the anti-codon, which is responsible for specific mRNA codon recognition, and the 3' end, to which the tRNAs corresponding amino acid is attached (by aminoacyl-tRNA synthetases). tRNAs cope with the degeneracy of the genetic code in two manners: having more than one tRNA (with a specific anti-codon) for a particular amino acid; and 'wobble' base-pairing, i.e. permitting non-standard base-pairing at the 3rd anti-codon position. Lineage: Eukaryota; Fungi; Ascomycota; Sordariomycetes; Microascales; Microascaceae. The record is from RNAcentral.